GCUCCCAUAGCUCAAUGGAUAGAGCAGCAGCCUUCUAAGCUGUUGAUGAGGGUCCGAUUCCUUCUGGGAGCACUA
This 75-nucleotide transfer RNA is filed under the name Candidatus Liptonbacteria bacterium RIFOXYB1_FULL_36_10. Its description in RNAcentral is "tRNA-Arg". It matches the Rfam family "tRNA". From Rfam's summary of the family: Transfer RNA (tRNA) molecules are approximately 80 nucleotides in length. Lineage: Bacteria; Candidatus Liptoniibacteriota. The record is from RNAcentral. RNAcentral also lists the same sequence under 1 other name.